CAGUUUAGUCUUGAUUUUUCUUUAAAAAAAAAAAACUCGAAUUUGUAUGAGAAAGAGCUUUCCAUCAAUAUUUCAAUUUAAAAGAAUGAACAAAAGCAAAUUAUUAACUAUAGGAAAUAUUGUUCUGAUAAAUAAGAAAAAACGUAAAGAAAGAUAAAGUCGAAAAGUGAUAUUUUAGAUAGCGAGGAAUGACUUAUUUAAAGGUACAAAACAAAAUUCAAAGCAACUCGUUUACUAAAAAGAGCACCCUUUAGAUUGCAUUAUUUAGAAUACGGCCCUGCUGCAGCCACUUACGCGGCGGUAAUAACUCUACGUUGUCGCGCCGAACUUAGUUACUCGAUGAGUGUCGGUAGGAGCGAGCGUUUCACGCGUUCCAAAUAACUAGAUGCACUUUUUCACUUGCUCAUCUCUAAGUUUUUGAAAGAACGCGAUAAACGUUAUUUAUUUCUCUCGCAUUGAUAUAUUUUGUAUUUAUUUUUUUUAUUUUUUUUGUUUUUUUUUUAUGUAAGUGUAUAUUUAUGUACAUCUUGUUUGUUCACUAAACGCGAUUGGUUCUUUAUACUAUUAAUAUCAUUCCAAGGAAAGAGGAAAAAUCAGGUGAUCAUAUGCUGCAUUGCGUACUUUGAAAGGACAUUUAAAUUGGCGCGCGAAUUCGCCCGGCGAAUGUUUUUCGUUUACUUCGGUUGGUAGGACUGUUCGGAAAAUUCGGAAAGUGAACAGGUGUUUUUUGAAUGGAUUAGCGUGAGAGAGAGGCGAAGAGAGAGAAAGCAAAAGAGUAGACGAAAAGGAUGCGUAAAGUUUCGGUGAAUGGUGAACGAUCGGCGGCGAAUUGAAAGAAAUUUACAAAUGAUUGAGGCCCAAGAAUAUAUAAAUGAACACAAAUUCACAUUGGGUUUACCAAUGAAAAUGAGGUGAGUCCUAGGAAUGUAACCUCAGUUUUAUGUGAGCAGUGUAUUCCAAUAAGAAAAAGGUAAAUAAACAAAUGUGAUACUUUCAUAGGUUACAAUGUAAAACCCAUAUGAUGUUAAUAAGAGAGUAAAAAUAUAAGAGAGAGAGAGAGAGAGAGAGUCGCUUAAUUGUCUUAUUUAUCUGUCGAGGCGGUCAGUUCGUCAGUAUGUCGGUAUUUGUUGUUAUUACGCUCUUGUAUUUCUAAUUUUUUCACUCAUAAGGUUCAAUCAUGUUACAUUUUCAUAACACACACGUUCUUUUUUCUCUUACUGUUUUACCUUAAUUGCCUGCGUUCGUAACGUUACGAUGAAUUGCGCGAUUUAAUUGGGAGUGAUUCUCUUUGAGAAAUUUAUAUAAUAACGAGCAUAGAAAAUCUCGUCAAAGAAUAGAAGAAACUAUAUCUUAAGUUUUCAUUUCGAAAUCUUUAUUCAAGAAAUAUUCUGUGAUAGAAAUAAUUAUGCUUUGUAAUAUCCGUUUAAUGACGCGCAAAUAUGAUUGCAUCUAUAGAUGUAAUGAUUUUGUAAUUUAUUUACAUCUCAUGAAAUAUUUAAACUUAUUUCUAGUUAAACUAUAUAUAUAUAUAU
Molecule: unclassified non-coding RNA, 1532 nt
Filed under: Polistes dominula (European paper wasp)
Lineage: Eukaryota; Metazoa; Arthropoda; Insecta; Hymenoptera; Vespidae
Description: suppressor of hairless protein, transcript variant X1
Source: RNAcentral